Molecule: long non-coding RNA, 1824 nt
Organism: Xiphias gladius (swordfish)
Lineage: Eukaryota; Metazoa; Chordata; Actinopteri; Istiophoriformes; Xiphiidae
Exons: 3
Source: RefSeq, a predicted model, not a curated record
AGCUAAUCUUCUUAGUAAUCACAAUGUUUGACCGUUGGAACUGAACAAAGUUCACAUUGUCAAUAACAACAGGUGGUACUUCUACCAAUGAGAGAAGGACAGGGCAAAAAUAAACCCAGAGACAGAUAAAAAAGAAGACAGAUAUAAAAGAAAAGACGGAGAGACCAUUAAGAGAAUCACGACUUCUACCUCUGGACUGAACCAACCAUCUUUUCUCUCUGAGGAAUAUUCUUUGGAUUAUUUCACAACCCUCUGCACUGAAACAUGAUGUGACACACUGAUUGAUUAUAAGAUAUGUGACUGCCAUCACAAGCGUCACCUUUGACCUCCACUUACAUGCAGGCUACUGAAGACAAUUUAACAUCAGGAAGGACAACUGUCGGGACAACUAUGCAGUAGCUCACUGAGAAUAUUUGGCAACCAUCUGCAAGUCAUCUCCACCUGCGUUCAUUCAAAUCUGCAUUUAAGGGAACCUGAAUACUCAGUAUGGAGGUACUGAGUGGCCCCUGGGCGGAUGUGGCUCUGCUCCUGCAACAGACCAUCACCCAAACAGACAGAGAGACAGACAGCUUUCUUCCUCUCUGGCUCUUCGGACUGCUGCUGUUCCUGUCUGUCUGUCUGCUGCUGCUGCAGCUGAUUAUCUACCUCAGCUGGAAGCUCAGACAGGCUGAGGCGGAUCUGUUGGGGUUCCCGCAGGACAGAAGCGCCCUCCACAGGCAGAUACACAGAAGUACGCACCUGAGGAGGAGGAGCGUUGGGUCGCAUUCAUACACGUAGCCGGACGCACACCUCCUCAACAUUCAAUUUUAGCAUUGACACCCGCUACAAUAAACUCUGUCCCGAAUCUUUCCAGCAGCUCUGCCAGUCAACCUGAGUUCAGACUGUCUCUACAGAACAAUGUGACCGAUUGUGGGAGGGACGCUUCUCAUACUUAAACUGCCUUAAGAGGGUGAGAGUUGAAGCCUGUCUAGAAAAUAGUUAGCUGUCAUAGAUGAUCUGUGAAAAGCACCGCUGUGCCUCUUGAAACACUGGAAAUCUGGAAGCCCUCUACACAGAUGUCUCUAAUCUUCUCUGACAAUUGGCAUCUUUUACAGAUGUGUUUUUAAUUGCCAUCUUGUUUAAGCUUGGGAAGUUUAAGAAACCUGGAAAGUAGCAUUUACUUAUACCAAACACUUACUGCACAUACUAUUAAGACUACCUGGAGAGAAAGCACAGUUAAACUCGUGUACAUGAACAUUCAAGACUUACAAAUUUCGAAUCACACCAUCCACGGAAAUGAAUGAAUGGGGAAAUGAACUGACCAAACAGAUUUCAGAGUACAACAAUCUUUUAUUUAAACAGUGUUACACAGAGGGAGGAGUGGCUGUGUGUGUGGGGAGACACAAGACAAUUAAGCUGCUAGAUACAAAAACCGUACUGGUGAUCAUUGGUUGGCUAAGAGAGAGCAAUGAGGCUGCUGGUUGGUUUUCCAAAACUCAUGUCUUUGUAAAGUUUUGUUGAAAGUGAGUUUUAACUCAGUUAACAUACAAAAUGGUGCUGGUUUUAGUUGACUUUAUAUCAUCUCAUCUGUCCAAAUUGUUGUACAAAGCCUGAGCUUUAGGUGUAAAGCAUAUAAUCGAUGUCGAUUAUAAAACAUCUAUUUCAUCAGCAUCCAUACAGAAAGUCAUGACAUUGUGUAAAUCAGAUGAAUGUAACAAUGUCCUCCAUAAUGUUGAGAUACCUGACAGUUUUAAAAUCAGCUGGAGUAGAAUCAAAUGUGUAUUAUCCAUGAGUGACAUGUAGAUGACGCGGUAACAUUUUUUUUUUUUAAAUCUUAAUAAAGUU